GACAGGAGACAGGAGAUGAUGUUCAACAAGGGGCCACAGGCUGAAACUGAACCCGCAGCCGCUGCAGGAAGGACACAGCCUCGGUACAUGAGGCACCUGCUCCUUCGGCCCACCACAGGACAGCUAGAGGACAGAGAAGAAGUGGGAAACUUAACACGCUUAUGAGGUCCUGAAGCUCCGGUUUGGCUUCCAGCUUCCCAUCGUAGUACUCUGGACCCUGGUGAAGAAACAACAUCUUGAUACUCAACCGGCGCUUGUGUCUUUAUGAAAAGUGCAAAGUGGUGAUUGACAGGGAACUGGGACGCAGAGGGUGAGACAUACGGCAAGGUGAGCUGCGUUAAACGUCCUGAACAACGCGCUUCUUAUCUUGCCGAGCCACUGGAGCACCAAUAUUUCAAUGCAUAUUAUAGUGGGGACAUGGGAGAAAGACGGACGGAUGUAAUUUAGAUUCAUAGCUCACCUCCUCAUUGACCCGGCUGUCCACAAACUACACACUGUGUCCCAGCAGCCGCUGGAUUUAUUACCCGUUUACCA
This is a long non-coding RNA of Plectropomus leopardus (leopard coralgrouper), 534 nucleotides long. RefSeq lists it as uncharacterized. Lineage: Eukaryota; Metazoa; Chordata; Actinopteri; Perciformes; Serranidae. The record is from RefSeq and is a predicted model, not a curated record.